AGAUAGUAUUAUUUUGCUAUCUUCGGGCAAUAACACAAUAAUAUGUAAAAAAAUUAUCUUAUAUGUCAUUGCGUUAUUGAUCGAAAAUAGCAAAAAGUUAUAUAUUC
Molecule: microRNA precursor, 107 nt
Organism: Prunus persica (peach)
Lineage: Eukaryota; Viridiplantae; Streptophyta; Magnoliopsida; Rosales; Rosaceae
Rfam family: MIR6274 microRNA precursor family
Source: Rfam